Molecule: ribosomal RNA, 652 nt
Filed under: Tomentella sp.
Lineage: Eukaryota; Fungi; Basidiomycota; Agaricomycetes; Thelephorales; Thelephoraceae
Description: LSU rRNA
Rfam family: Eukaryotic large subunit ribosomal RNA
Source: RNAcentral
UACCCGCUGAACUUAAGCAUAUCACUAAGCGGAGGAAAAGAAACUAACAAGGAUUCCCCUAGUAACUGCGAGUGAAGCGGGAAGAGCUCAAAUUUAAAAUCUGGCGGCCUCCGGCUGUCCGAGUUGUAGUCUGGAGAAGCGUUUUCCGUGUUGGACCGUGUAUAAGUCUCUUGGAACAGGGCGUCAUAGAGGGUGAGAAUCCCGUCUUUGACACGGACUACCAAUGCUUUGUGAUGCGCUCUCAAAGAGUCGAGUUGUUUGGGAAUGCAGCUCAAAAUGGGUGGUAAAUUCCAUCUAAAGCUAAAUAUAGGCGAGAGACCGAUAGCGAACAAGUACCGUGAGGGAAAGAUGAAAAGCACUUUGGAAAGAGAGUUAAACAGUACGUGAAAUUGCUGAAAGGGAAACGCUUGAAGUCAGUCACGUCUGCCAGGACUCAGCCUCGCUUCUGCUUGGUGCACUUUCUGGUUUGAUGGGCCAACAUCAAUUUUGACCGUUGGAGAAAGGCUUUGGGAAUGUGGCACCUUUGGGUGUGUUAUAGCCCUUUGUCGUAUGCAACGGUUGGGAUUGAGGACUGCAGCACGCCUUCAUGGCCGGGGUUCGCCCACGUACGUGCUUAAGAUGUUGGCAUAAUGGCUUUAAGCGACCCGUCUUG